RNAcentral lists this long non-coding RNA (918 nucleotides) under Anas platyrhynchos platyrhynchos (common mallard). RNAcentral's name for it is "lncRNA (ENSAPLG00000026194.1)". The record is from RNAcentral. Lineage: Eukaryota; Metazoa; Chordata; Aves; Anseriformes; Anatidae.
AGGAGCUUGGCUUUGGAGGCACGAGACAUGGCAGUGCCCAUCACCCCCUGUAGGAAUGUAUUUAACUCACCUCUAUAAGGGCUGUGGCUCAAACUGCCUGGCUGAAUAACAGCUCAUGGGGGCCCUAACUGCUACUGAUAUUAUCAAGCUCCCACCAGUAUGUACUGCUGAGCAAGGAAAACAAUAUUUCUAGUUUAAGGGGUUUUUUGUUUGUUUUUAACAGGGUUCAGCCCAAUAAAAGGUGAAGGACCUUUGUAAUUGGAAAGGAUAAAACAUUGAGUGGAAGGAUGUUGUUCCGUGCUGCAGAGCGGGUGCAGCUCAGCACAGCAGACCCCAGCUGCCGAUCUGCACGCUACAUCAAAGCCGUGCAGGGAGGCAAAAUCCCAGAUCGGAAUAUUCCAGUUCUUCCACGUGAUGCUUUGCAUUAUGUUCCUGCUGCUCAUCGGCAGGCUGCCUCGCUCGCGUCCACCGCUCCCUGGUGUGCUCCUGUCCUGGUCCCCGUGUCGGGGGAGCCCCUCGCAGCAGCAGCGUGCGGGAUGCCUCGUGCCUGGGAAUGCUGCCUGGUGAGAAGCAUAGGGACCCUGAAUAGCUGAUUACAGCUUCCCAUGAGAUAUCGCGUGCUCUGGGCUUUGUUCAGCAAUUUGUGAUGUUCCUUCAGAAGGAAAGGUCACACAACUCUUAAUGUGAAUGAACUUUUUCAUUAGGAAAAUUUCUUAUGGAUUUUCUUUUCUGUUUUGUUUUCCUUUGCUUGCCACCUCUUAAUUAAAACAGCCCUGUUUUAAACAAACCACUCUUUAAAGAGGUUCUGUUGACAUAUUCAAAACUCCCCCCAUCUUAAAUCCUUUUAAAAUAAGGAUCAAGUCUGGCUGCUUCCAGUCACCUGCCCAAAUAAAUGAGCUUGCGGUGUACUUGAGUUCA